Molecule: signal recognition particle RNA, 297 nt
Filed under: Malus domestica (apple)
Lineage: Eukaryota; Viridiplantae; Streptophyta; Magnoliopsida; Rosales; Rosaceae
Description: sRNA MD05G0047600
Rfam family: Plant signal recognition particle RNA
Source: RNAcentral
CGUAGCGUCGAGCAUUGUAACGCAUGCUUGUAACCCGAGUGGGGACAAAUAAGAUGUUGGAACACUGUUUCGGUUUCAGUGUGUCGGGUCCGUCGUGCCUCUAUUCUGGCUCGCCCAUUCCAAGGCGGGAGUUGGACUGUGUGGCCUGGGCGUAGGCUCAAGCCUCACUCUUCCUAAAGCGGAGGGCACUGCGUAAGGCUGGCCUCACAGAGCAACGAUCACCUCCUGCUCUCGUCGGUGGAAGGAUAACGGGUCGGUGCUACUCGGAUCCACCGUGGCACUCUAGACCGUUCCGGU